CCUACGGGAGGCAGCAGUGGGGAAUAUUGGGCAAUGGAGGAAACUCUGACCCAGCGACGCCGCGUGCGGGAUGAAGGCCUUCGGGUUGUAAACCGCUUUCAGUAGGGAAGAAGCGAAAGUGACGGUACCUACAGAAGAAGCACCGGCUAACUAUGUGCCAGCAGCCGCGGUAAUACAUAGGGUGCAAGCGUUGUCCGGAAUUAUUGGGCGUAAAGAGCUCGUAGGUGGUUCGUCACGUCGGAUGUGAAAAUCUGGGGCUCAACCCCAGACCUGCAUUCGAUACGGGCGAUCUAGAGUGUGGUAGGGGAGACUGGAAUUCCUGGUGUAGCGGUGGAAUGCGCAGAUAUCAGGAGGAACACCAAUGGCGAAGGCAGGUCUCUGGGCCAUUACUGACACUGAGGAGCGAAAGCGUGGGGAGCGAACAGGAUUAGAUACCCUGGUAGUCCACGCCGUAAACGGUGGGCACUAGUUGUGGGAACCUUCCACGGUUUCUGCGACGCAGCUACGACAUAAGUAGCCCGCCGUCGGGAGGUACGAGCGCGAGAAGUUAAACUAACUAAAGGUAAAGUUAGUUACGGCGUGAGACGUGCCGACGGACGACGACCGAGGGGAGGUUAGG
Molecule: ribosomal RNA, 619 nt
Filed under: uncultured bacterium
Lineage: Bacteria
Description: bacterial SSU rRNA
Rfam family: Bacterial small subunit ribosomal RNA (bases 1-523)
Source: RNAcentral